GGCCUUUGAAAACCGCGGCCACCUGCUCCUGACUCGAGGGCAGGGUGUGGAAGCAGCACAGUUUUUGAGCCUCCAGUAAGCUCCAGAUCAUUUAGAAGAAGCCAAAUGCUCAGAUUCUGUGGUUACCUGACUUUUGAAUGGAAGCCUCUGGAAGGGGCACCCAUGUGUAACCUCAGUCAAGAGGUCCUCGUCGUCUUCCUGCCUUUUCCCGCUUUUCUCAGCACCCUCUAGGCCAUUAACAAAAGUACCAAGCUUGAUUAUUUCCCCCCGAGCCUAGGGUUUCACAUCACACCGCAGUUAUAAAUCGCUAGUAAAAUGGGCCAUUGUGGUUGCUUACGUCGUUUUAUUAAAUAAAGAUGACGUUGCCUCUGUUAGGAAAGGAAUUUGCUCCCAGAGCAAGGAAGUCUGGAGGGCACAUGACAGCAGCCUCACAGACCACGGCAGGGCCUGGAAAGCCUGGAGACUUAAAGUAGGGAUAUUUCCGAGUCUUUUGAAUAUUUUCUUCUUCUUUUUCUCUUUAUAACCCACCUCAGAAUAUAAAAGACAUAAUAGAUGUUUUAAUUUUUACAUCUUUCCGACUGGGAAAAUGUCCAGAAUAAGAUCCAAACAAAACAAAUUAAAUAAUUUUGUGCACGCAAUUAUAGAACAGAAGCAACACUC
This 660-nucleotide long non-coding RNA is filed under the name Bos taurus (domestic cattle). RNAcentral's name for it is "long non-coding RNA NONBTAT021674". The record is from RNAcentral. Lineage: Eukaryota; Metazoa; Chordata; Mammalia; Artiodactyla; Bovidae.